Molecule: ribosomal RNA, 426 nt
Filed under: uncultured Pseudomonadota bacterium
Lineage: Bacteria; Pseudomonadati; Pseudomonadota
Description: bacterial SSU rRNA
Rfam family: Bacterial small subunit ribosomal RNA
Source: RNAcentral
GGGGAAUAUUGGACUAUGGGCGCAAGCCUGAUCCAGCCAUGCCGCGUGGGUGAAGAAGGCCUUAGGGUUGUAAAGCCCUUUUGUUGGGAAAGAAAAGCAGCCGGCCAAUACCCGGUUGUUCUGACGGUACCCAAAGAAUAAGCACCGGCUAACUUCGUGCCAGCAGCCGCGGUAAUACGGAGGGUGCAAGCGUUAAUCGGAAUCACUGGGCGUAAAGCGCGCGUAGGCGGCUUUUUAAGUCGGACGUGAAAGCCCUCGGCUCAACCGGGGAAUUGCGUUCGAAACUGGGAGGCUUGAGUCCUGGAGAGGGUGGCGGAAUUCCGGGUGUAGGAGUGAAAUCCGUAGAUAUCCGGAGGAACACCGUUGGCGAAGGCGGCCACCUGGACAGGUACUGACGCUGAGGCGCGAAAGCGUGGGGAGCAAACA